This is a long non-coding RNA of Melanotaenia boesemani (Boeseman's rainbowfish), 188 nucleotides long. RefSeq lists it as uncharacterized. The record is from RefSeq and is a predicted model, not a curated record. Lineage: Eukaryota; Metazoa; Chordata; Actinopteri; Atheriniformes; Melanotaeniidae. The transcript is spliced from 3 exons.
CACCGGCACAAGGUGAAGAGGUGGGAGGUGUCGGUGCUCACCGGGCGGCAGCACAAGUUGGUUCUUCCGUCGGAGUCCCACGGCAAAAAGGUGGUUUUUGCUAUUGGUGACUCCCAUCUUCGAAGCCUUGCAGAUGGCAUCGUGCGGUUGCCUGAGGGUCGUCUGGCGUGGGGGUUCAUGUCAACGCC